Molecule: ribosomal RNA, 253 nt
Filed under: uncultured bacterium
Lineage: Bacteria
Description: partial 16S ribosomal RNA
Rfam family: Bacterial small subunit ribosomal RNA
Source: RNAcentral
UACGUAGGGAGCAAGCGUUGUUCGGAUUUACUGGGCGUAAAGGGCGCGUAGGCGGCGCGGUAAGUCACUUGUGAAAUCUCUGAGCUUAACUCAGAACUGCCAAGUGAUACUGCAGUGCUAGAGUGCAGAAAGGGCAAGCGGAAUUCUUGGUGUAGCGGUGAAAUGCGUAGAUAUCUGGAGGAAUACCGGUGGCGAAGGCGGCAUCCUGGACCGACAUUGACGCUGAACGGCGAAAGCUAGGGGAGCAAACGGG